CGCCCAACAGCUAGCCCCCUCAGCCGAAAACAACAAACCACCAUCAAUAACCCCAAAUGCACCAACAUUAUUAUUAAACAAACCAUUUUUCCCCCUUAGUAUGGGCGACAGAAAAGGGACCAGGAGCAAUAGAGAAAG
This 138-nucleotide ribosomal RNA is filed under the name Lateolabrax latus (blackfin seabass). Its description in RNAcentral is "partial 16S rRNA". Lineage: Eukaryota; Metazoa; Chordata; Actinopteri; Acropomatiformes; Lateolabracidae. The record is from RNAcentral.